UACGUAGGUGGCAAGCGUUGUCCGGAAUUAUUGGGUGUAAAGCGCGCGCAGGCGGUCCUUUAAGUCUGAUGUGAAAGCCCACGGCUCAACCGUGGAGGGUCAUUGGAAACUGGGGGACUUGAGUGCAGAAGAGGAGAGUGGAAUUCCACGUGUAGCGGUGAAAUGCGUAGAGAUGUGGAGGAACACCAGUGGCGAAGGCGACUCUCUGGUCUGUAACUGACGCUGAGGCGCGAAAGCGUGGGGAGCAAACAGG
RNAcentral lists this ribosomal RNA (253 nucleotides) under uncultured bacterium. Its description in RNAcentral is "partial 16S ribosomal RNA". It matches the Rfam family "Bacterial small subunit ribosomal RNA", at positions 524 to 776 of the family's 1533-position model. The record is from RNAcentral.